UCCGGUUUGACACCGGCGGUCCCCUUAGAGUCCCCGGCAUAACCCGCUGGUAACUAAGGGUAAAGGUUUCGCUCGUUAAGGGACUUAACCCGACAUCUCACGACACGAGCUGACGACAGCCAUGCAGCACCUGUAACUGUUGUACCCCUUGCGGGGCCUACCCGGCUUUCACCGGGAUAAUCCAGUCAUGUCAAACCCAGGUAAGGUUCUGCGCGUUGCUUCGAAUUGAACCACAUGCUCCACCGCUUGUGUGAGCCCCCGUCAAUUCCUUUGAGUUUUAGCCUUGCGACCGUACUUCCCAGGCGGUCCACUUAACACUUUUGCUUCGACCGCGACGGGGUCAAACCCGCCGCAAUCUAGUGGACAUCGUUUAGGGCCAGGACUAC
Molecule: unclassified non-coding RNA, 386 nt
Filed under: uncultured Tepidisphaerales bacterium
Lineage: Bacteria; Pseudomonadati; Planctomycetota; Phycisphaerae; Tepidisphaerales
Description: contains 16S-23S intergenic spacer region
Source: RNAcentral